UACGUAGGUGGCAAGCGUUGUCCGGAAUUAUUGGGCGUAAAGCGUACGCAGGCGGUUUCUUAAGUCUGAUGUGAAAGCCCACGGCUCAACCGUGGAGGGUCAUUGGAAACUGGGGAACUUGAGUACAGAAGAGGAGAGUGGAAUUCCACGUGUAGCGGUGAAAUGCGUAGAUAUGUGGAGGAACACCAGUGGUGAAGGCGAGGCUCUGGUCUGUAACUGACGCUGAGGCGCGAAAGCGUGCGGAGCAAACAGG
Molecule: unclassified non-coding RNA, 253 nt
Filed under: uncultured Caryophanales bacterium
Lineage: Bacteria; Bacillati; Bacillota; Bacilli; Caryophanales
Description: uncultured Bacillales bacterium contains 16S-23S intergenic spacer region
Rfam family: Bacterial small subunit ribosomal RNA
Source: RNAcentral